AUGUUCAUAUUUUGGGUACACAUUGUUGGACAAGGAUUCAAGACUUUCCAAGUCCCAAACCAGGGAAUAUUUGUAAGUGACUCUGUUAAUUGGUUGCUAUCCAAGUUUAUUGUUUCUCUUGAUUUGAAGAAAGAGUCGUAUCAAAAGCUUUCACUACCCGAUCCUAAGCAAUUAACAAUUUCAGGUUUUGUUUCCUUAGAAACAUUGAGAGGUUGUUCGUCCCUUCUUUUUAGUGACAACUCUUCUGCUGAUGUUUGGAUUAUAAAAGAAUUUGGUAAUCAAAAGUCUUGGACUAAAUUGUUAACUGUUUCUUACUUGAAAGCAUGGGGUCCUUGUCCCAUUACUUAG
Non-coding RNA from Vicia faba (fava bean), 348 nucleotides. The record is from the annotation of a GenBank genome assembly. Lineage: Eukaryota; Viridiplantae; Streptophyta; Magnoliopsida; Fabales; Fabaceae.